UGUGAUCUUACCAAAAUGCUUUGUGCAUUUGACAGUUUCUUUUAUAUUUGGAUUGUAGUUCACAUUGUGAGCUAUGGUCCUUAGAUUAAUGGGACUCAUGAACAAAAUUCAUGAAUAAGAAUACCUAUGAUUGGAAAUCAUAUGCCCUUAAGGGCCCCUAUUUUUUGAUGGAUAAAUAUCAUAGAAAAGUUGGUAAACUUUUCUAUUGGUCA
This 212-nucleotide long non-coding RNA is filed under the name Elaeis guineensis (African oil palm). Its description in RNAcentral is "long non-coding RNA (EGUI_LNC066037)". The record is from RNAcentral. Lineage: Eukaryota; Viridiplantae; Streptophyta; Magnoliopsida; Arecales; Arecaceae.